GACCAAUCCGGUGGCUUAGUGGUUAGAGCGUCCGCCUCGAAUGUGGGAGGUUGCGGUUUCGAAUCCAAUUUGAGUCA
This is a non-coding RNA of Potamilus streckersoni, 77 nucleotides long. Lineage: Eukaryota; Metazoa; Mollusca; Bivalvia; Unionida; Unionidae. The record is from the annotation of a GenBank genome assembly.